Molecule: ribosomal RNA, 277 nt
Filed under: uncultured Thermovirga sp.
Lineage: Bacteria; Thermotogati; Synergistota; Synergistia; Synergistales; Thermovirgaceae
Description: partial 16S ribosomal RNA
Rfam family: Bacterial small subunit ribosomal RNA
Source: RNAcentral
UGCAUUCAGUUGCCAUCGGUAAGGCCGGGCGACUCUGGAUGGACUGCCGGCGACAAGCCGGAGAGGUGGGGACGACGUCAAGUCAUCAUGGCCCUUAUGUCCAGGGCGACACACGUGCUACAAUGGCCGGCACAACGGGAAGCGAAGGGGCGACCCUGAGCGGAUCCCACAAAAGCCGGUCUCAGUUCGGAUUGCAGUCUGCAACUCGACUGCAUGAAGUUGGAAUCGCUAGUAAUCGUGGAUCAGCCAAGCCGCGGUGAAUACGUUCCCGGGCCUU